GAUGAAGAACGCAGCGAAAUGCGAUACGUAGUGUGAAUUGCAGAAUUCAGUGAAUCAUCGAAUCUUUGAACGCAGAUUGCACCUCUCGGUAUUCCGGGAGGUAUGCCUGUUCGAGCGUCAUUUGUACCCUCAAGCUCUGCUUGGUGUUGGGUGUUUGUUCCGCCUCUGUGUGUGAACUCGCCUCAAAACAAUUGGCAGCCGGCGUACUUGUUUCGGAGCGCAGCACAUUUUGCGAUCCAGAUCAACGUACAGCGGCAUCCAAGAAGCCUUAUUUAACGCUCUUGACCUCGGAUCAGGUAGGGAUACCCGCUGAACUUAAGCAUAUCAAUAAGCGGAGGA
This 339-nucleotide unclassified non-coding RNA is filed under the name soil metagenome. Its description in RNAcentral is "partial contains 5.8S ribosomal RNA, internal transcribed spacer 2, and large subunit ribosomal RNA". The stretch from base 1 to 120 matches the Rfam family "5.8S ribosomal RNA", at positions 35 to 154 of the family's 154-position model. The record is from RNAcentral.